RNAcentral lists this ribosomal RNA (253 nucleotides) under uncultured bacterium. Its description in RNAcentral is "partial 16S ribosomal RNA". It matches the Rfam family "Bacterial small subunit ribosomal RNA", at positions 524 to 776 of the family's 1533-position model. The record is from RNAcentral.
UACGAAGGGGGCUAGCGUUGCUCGGAAUCACUGGGCGUAAAGGGCGCGUAGGCGGCCAUUCAAGUCAGGGGUGAAAGCCUAAGGCUCAACCUUGGAAUUGCCUUUGAUACUGUUUGGCUUGAGUCUGGUAGAGGUUGGUGGAACUGCGAGUGUAGAGGUGAAAUUCGUAGAUAUUCGCAAGAACACCGGUGGCGAAGGCGGCCAACUGGACCAGAACUGACGCUGAGGCGCGAAAGCGUGGGGAGCAAACAGG